Molecule: ribosomal RNA, 500 nt
Filed under: uncultured bacterium
Lineage: Bacteria
Description: partial 16S ribosomal RNA
Rfam family: Bacterial small subunit ribosomal RNA
Source: RNAcentral
AUUGAACGCUGGCGGCAGGCCUAACACAUGCAAGUCGAGCGGAUGACGGGAGCUUGCUCCUUGAUUCAGCGGCGGACGGGUGAGUAAUGCCUAGGAAUCUGCCUGGUAGUGGGGGACAACGUGUCGAAAGGAACGCUAAUACCGCAUACCUACUACGGGAGAAAGCAGGGGACCUUCUGCCCUUGCGCUAUCAGCUGAGCCUAGGUCGGAUUAGCUAGUUGGUGGGGUAAUGGCUCACCAAGGCGACGAUCCGUAACUGGACUGAGAGGAUGAUCAGUCACACUGGAACUGAGACACGGUCCAGACUUCUACGGGAGGCAGCAGUGGGGAAUAUUGGACAAUGGGCGAAAGCCUGAUCCAGCCAUGCCGCGUGUGUGAAGAAGGUCUUCGGAUUGUAAAGCACUUUAAGUUGGGAGGAAGGGCAGUAAGUUAAUACCUUGCUGUUUUGACGUUACCGACAGAAUAAGCACCGGCUAACUCUGUGCCAGCAGCCGCGGUAA